AUGGGGGGCAGAGCAGAAUCCACACUGGGAGGCCAGGGCUCCCCAACCUCCCCAUUGGGCCAUUCAGCAACCCCGAAUGUGCAGGGGACCAAGGAGGGGUUUGGAGGAGGGGGAAGACAGGUGGGGGAGGGGAGGCCCCGGCCCAGCGGCCUCUGUGGUCAAAGGGGGGAUGCCCCCCCCAUCCUGUCCUGGGCAGCUGCUGUCCUGGUCACAGGGUCUGAAACCGGAGCCCCCGAGUGGGGGUGGGGCGGCAGCUCUGGCCUGGAAAGGGGGCGGGUCCUGUACCGGGUGGGAGUUGGGGAACACAGGGGUCCCCGGAACCCAGGCCCUUCCGGUCCGGCAGCUCCUGCUGCGACUUGCAGCGUUUGGGGAAAGUUACUCACCAACCAGUCAUGCGCCUCGGAUGCCGCCGGCCACGGGGCUCCCGGAGGGGGGUCCGACACCGCCCGGUGCCCGGGAUCCCCAAUCUGGCCGGUGGAUGAGGCCCCAUCCCAUGCACCCCAGUCCGGAGAACGGGGGGUUACUAUUAAUUCAGGAUUCCAUCCCCACCCGAGGCAGGAGGACACCCAGUGCGUGCCCCAACUCCGGGAUGCGUGCCCUGCCCCUGGAACUUCCGAGAUUCCCGCGACGCCCCCUGUCUCUGGGUCAAGAACUUCGGGGGACACCUCUUCUGCCUCCUCCAACCCCAGGAAACGGAAGAGAUCAACUUCAGGAGGGAACGGGAAGCAAGACAAAGAGAGAAACCUUCCUGUCUGUCCUCCUGACCACCCCAUCCCUGAGCAGGGACGUCUGUCCACCUCUGUCCCUCCCAAGACGAUGGUAAAAACGCCCACAAUGGUUGAAUUACGGUGAUCAUUGCUGUUAUUUGAGGUUUCCAGGAUCCAAAGGUUGAAGGAAUGUCUCCAAGGCAUGGUUGUAUCCCCUCAGCCUCCACUGUCACCUCUGGUCACAGGGAGCGCCCCUUUCCCACACUUUCCAGGAGAGCGUCCUUCUGGAGUUGAGCUGAGAUCCACCUCCCCAGCCCCAUGGGUCCCACUUGUCAAUCCUGGUGCCAGCCCCUCUCUGGCACCUUCUCCAAAAUCACACAGUGCCGUUGGUUCGUUCAUGGGCAUAGGCCCGGAGCUCCCUGGAAUCAAGGCCUGUGGCGCCCUAAAGCUCUGACCUUACAUUUGAGUUUUUCUUUUUUUUCCCUUUCUUUCUUUUUUUUUUUUUUUUUUUUUUGAGACAAAGUCUCACUCUGUUGCCCAGGCUGGAGUGCAGUGGCACAAUCUCAGUUUACUGCAGCCUCUGCCUCCCAGAUUCAAGUGAUUCUCCUGCCUCAGCCUCCCGAGUAGCUGGGACUACAGGUUCAUGCCACCACACCUGGCUGAUUUUUGUAUUUUUAAUAAAGAUGGGGUUUCGCCAUGUUGCCCAGUCUGGUCUCGAACUCCUGACCUCAAGUGAUCCGGCCCCCCUCGGCCUCCCAAAGUGAUGGGAUUACAGACGUGAGCCACUGCACCUGGCUAACACUUAAGUUUUUUGACAACUUCAGAGAGGCUUUUGCUUUUCAUCUCCAAGACCUCUGCUCCUGUCUCCUUUCCCUGUUCCUUUAUUUCUGCUUCCUUCUAAGAAGAAUAGUAUAUCUGAGCUGGCAGUUACAUUCGAAUUACCUUUAGGUGAAUUCCAGGUCAGAUUGUCUUUGGAGAUUGACUCCUGGACCAAGAUCUGAGUCUUCCCCCGUCCAGGCUUUUGCCCAAACUGUUCCGUCCACCUGGAAUGCCCUCUCUGCAGGCAUGUCUUCCACCUUAUCCUUCCAGGCUCAGCGCCACCACCCUGUCUCCUCCUCUAGGAAGCCUCUCUGACUACCCUGGCCUUGGAAGGGACCUUUCCCUCCCCUGUCCCAAUCCCUGUGACUCUUUCUUUCUUUCUUUUUUAAAGUUUAUUUUUAGAGACAAGGUCUCACUAUGUUGCCCAGGCUGGUCUCGAACUCCUGAGCUCAAGUGAUCGUCCCGCCUCAGCCUCCCAAAGUGCUGGGAUGACAGGGGUGAACCCAAACCCU
RNAcentral lists this long non-coding RNA (2038 nucleotides) under Rhinopithecus bieti (black snub-nosed monkey). RNAcentral describes it as "lncRNA (ENSRBIG00000045884.1)". The record is from RNAcentral. Lineage: Eukaryota; Metazoa; Chordata; Mammalia; Primates; Cercopithecidae.